RNAcentral lists this ribosomal RNA (466 nucleotides) under Vreelandella stevensii. RNAcentral describes it as "partial 16S ribosomal RNA". It matches the Rfam family "Bacterial small subunit ribosomal RNA", at positions 338 to 795 of the family's 1533-position model. Lineage: Bacteria; Pseudomonadati; Pseudomonadota; Gammaproteobacteria; Oceanospirillales; Halomonadaceae. The record is from RNAcentral.
CCUACGGGAGGCUGCAGUGGGGAAUAUUGGACAAUGGGGGCAACCCUGAUCCAGCCAUGCCGCGUGUGUGAAGAAGGCCCUCGGGUUGUAAAGCACUUUCAGUGAGGAAGAACGCCUGGUGGUUAAUACCCAUCAGGAAAGACAUCACUCACAGAAGAAGCACCGGCUAACAUCCGUGCCAGCAGCCGCGGUAAUACGGAGGGUGCGAGCGUUAAUCGGAAUUACUGGGCGUAAAGCGCGCGUAGGUGGCUUGAUAAGCCGGUUGUGAAAGCCCCGGGCUCAACCUGGGAACGGCAUCCGGAACUGUCAAGCUAGAGUGCAGGAGAGGAAGGUAGAAUUCCCGGUGUAGCGGUGAAAUGCGUAGAGAUCGGGAGGAAUACCAGUGGCGAAGGCGGCCUUCUGGACUGACACUGACACUGAGGUGCGAAAGCGUGGGUAGCAAACAGGAAUAGAUACCCGAGUAGUC